GAUGAAGAACGUAGCGAAAUGCGAUACUUGGUGUGAAUUGCAGAAUCCCGUGAACCAUCGAGUCUUUGAACGCAAGUUGCGCCUCAAGCCAUUAGGUUGAGGGCACGUCUGCCUGGGCGUCACAUAUCGUUGCCUGAUGCCAGUUUCCUCGUGAUGGGUGACUGUGCAGGGCGAAUGAUGGCUUCCCGUGAACAUUGUUGCCUCAUGGUUGGUUGAAAAUUGAGUCCUUGGUAGGGAGCGCCGUGAUAGAUGGUGGUUGAGUGACGAACGAGACCCAAUCAUGUGAGACCCCUACCGAAUUUGGCCUUCAUGACCCACAUGCGUCUUUGGAACGCUCAUGACGAGACCUCAGGUCAGGCGGGGCUACCCGCUGAGUUUAAGCAUAUCAAUAAGCGGAGGA
Molecule: unclassified non-coding RNA, 400 nt
Filed under: soil metagenome
Description: partial contains 5.8S ribosomal RNA, internal transcribed spacer 2, and large subunit ribosomal RNA
Rfam family: 5.8S ribosomal RNA (bases 1-122)
Source: RNAcentral